UACAGAGGGGGCAAGCGUUGUUCGGAAUUACUGGGCGUAAAGGGCGCGUAGGCGGCCUGCUAAGUCGAACGUGAAAUCCCCGAGCUCAACUCGGGAACUGCGUCCGAUACUGGCAGGCUUGAAUCCGGGAGAGGGAUGCGGAAUUCCAGGUGUAGCGGUGAAAUGCGUAGAUAUCGGGAGGAACACCUGUGGCGAAAGCGGCGCACUGGACCAUAACUGACGCUGAGGCGCGAAAGCUAGGGGAGCAAACAGG
Molecule: ribosomal RNA, 253 nt
Filed under: uncultured bacterium
Lineage: Bacteria
Description: partial 16S ribosomal RNA
Rfam family: Bacterial small subunit ribosomal RNA
Source: RNAcentral